This 29-nucleotide small RNA is filed under the name Bombyx mori (domestic silkworm). Its description in RNAcentral is "ovarian small RNA-31033". The record is from RNAcentral. Lineage: Eukaryota; Metazoa; Arthropoda; Insecta; Lepidoptera; Bombycidae.
UGAAGUUGCGUGCCGUAGAACCAGGAAGC